GCAGAGAGGGGUGAGUUACACCUGCAGAUAAAGCACGACGAUAGCCACUCCUCUACAAGGCUCUAUCUCAGGCAGAAAUGGACUGGCUCUCAACUGUGUGUGUCAUCUGAUGAUGCAGAUCAUGAAUCCCCAGAAGGAACAUUUUGUGGAUUUUGAGACAGAUCUGUACUGGAUCUGCGCUAGUCCUGUAGGUGUGAGAGGAGACGCCCUCUACUGGUGAAGAGGAGGAACCUCUGUGUCAACAGGACCAACAGGCCGACUUGUGAC
This is a long non-coding RNA of Oncorhynchus masou masou (cherry salmon), 267 nucleotides long. RefSeq lists it as uncharacterized. Lineage: Eukaryota; Metazoa; Chordata; Actinopteri; Salmoniformes; Salmonidae. The record is from RefSeq and is a predicted model, not a curated record. The transcript is spliced from 3 exons.